RNAcentral lists this ribosomal RNA (1340 nucleotides) under uncultured bacterium. RNAcentral's name for it is "partial 16S ribosomal RNA". It matches the Rfam family "Bacterial small subunit ribosomal RNA", at positions 28 to 1380 of the family's 1533-position model. The record is from RNAcentral.
GACGAACGCUGGCGGCGUGCUUAACACAUGCAAGUCGAACGGUAAGGCUCCAGCUUGCUGGGGUACACGAGUGGCGAACGGGUGAGUAACACGUGGGUGACCUGCCCUGCACUUCGGGAUAAGCCUGGGAAACUGGGUCUAAUACCGGAUAGGACCGCACCGUGAGGGUGUGGUGGAAAGUUUUUUCGGUGUGGGAUGGGCCCGCGGCCUAUCAGCUUGUUGGUGGGGUAAUGGCCUACCAAGGCGGCGACGGGUAGCCGGCCUGAGAGGGUGGACGGCCACAUUGGGACUGAGACACGGCCCAGACUCCUACGGGAGGCAGCAGUGGGGAAUAUUGCACAAUGGGCGGAAGCCUGAUGCAGCGACGCCGCGUGGGGGAUGACGGCCUUCGGGUUGUAAACUCCUUUCACCAUCGACGAAGGGUUUCUGACGGUAGAUGGAGAAGAAGCACCGGCUAACUACGUGCCAGCAGCCGCGGUAAUACGUAGGGUGCGAGCGUUGUCCGGAAUUACUGGGCGUAAAGAGCUCGUAGGUGGUUUGUCGCGUCGUCUGUGAAAUUCCGGGGCUUAACUCCGGGCGUGCAGGCGAUACGGGCAUAACUUGAGUACUGUAGGGGAGACUGGAAUUCCUGGUGUAGCGGUGAAAUGCGCAGAUAUCAGGAGGAACACCGGUGGCGAAGGCGGGUCUCUGGGCAGUAACUGACGCUGAGGAGCGAAAGCAUGGGGAGCGAACAGGAUUAGAUACCCUGGUAGUCCAUGCCGCAAACGGUGGGCGCUAGGUGUGGGUUUCCUUCCACGGGAUCCGUGCCGUAGCUAACGCAUUAAGCGCCCCGCCUGGGGAGUACGGCCGCAAGGCUAAAACUCAAAGGAAUUGACGGGGGCCCGCACAAGCGGCGGAGCAUGUGGAUUAAUUCGAUGCAACGCGAAGAACCUUACCUGGGCUUGACAUAUACAGGAUCGCGCCAGAGAUGGUGUUUCCCUUGUGGCUUGUAUACAGGUGGUGCAUGGUUGUCGUCAGCUCGUGUCGUGAGAUGUUGGGUUAAGUCCCGCAACGAGCGCAACCCUUGUCUUAUGUUGCCAGCACGUUGUGGUGGGGACUCGUAAGAAACUGCCGGGGUUAACUCGGAGGAAGGUGGGGAUGACGUCAAAUCAUCAUGCCCCUUAUGUCCAGGGCUUCACACAUGCUACAAUGGUCGGUACAGUGGGUUGCCAGUCCGUGAGGGCGAGCUAAUCCCGCAAAGCCGGUCUCAGUUCGGAUCGGGGUCUGCAACUCGACCCCGUGAAGUCGGAGUCGCUAGUAAUCGCAGAUCAGCAACGCUGCGGUGAAUACGUUCCCGGGCC